AUUGAACGCUGGCGGCAUGCCUUACACAUGCAAGUCGAACGGCAGCGGGGGAGAAGCUUGCUUUUCCUGCCGGCGAGUGGCGAACGGGUGAGUAAUACAUCGGAACGUGCCCUGUAGUGGGGGAUAACUAGUCGAAAGAUUAGCUAAUACCGCAUACGACCUGAGGGUGAAAGUGGGGGACCGCAAGGCCUCAUGCUCUAGGAGCGGCCGAUGUCUGAUUAGCUGGUUGGUGGGGUAAAGGCCUACCAAGGCGACGAUCAGUAGCUGGUCUGAGAGGACGAUCAGCCACACUGGGACUGAGACACGGCCCAGACUCCUACGGGAGGCAGCAGUGGGGAAUUUUGGACAAUGGGCGAAAGCCUGAUCCAGCAAUGCCGCGUGUGGGAAGAAGGCCUUCGGGUUGUAAAGCACUUUUGUCCGGAAAGAAAUGGCUCUGGUUAAUACCUGGGGUCGAUGACGGUACCGGAAGGAUAAGGACCGGCUAACUACGUGCCAGCCGCCGCCGUAA
Molecule: ribosomal RNA, 508 nt
Filed under: uncultured bacterium
Lineage: Bacteria
Description: partial 16S ribosomal RNA
Rfam family: Bacterial small subunit ribosomal RNA
Source: RNAcentral